This is a long non-coding RNA of Carassius gibelio (silver crucian carp), 629 nucleotides long. RefSeq lists it as uncharacterized. The transcript has 3 exons. NCBI's taxonomy places the organism in Eukaryota, Metazoa, Chordata, Actinopteri, Cypriniformes, Cyprinidae. The record is from RefSeq and is a predicted model, not a curated record.
AGGUAUGUUAAAUAAUCUGCUAAAGUACUUGUUGUUGAUUGUAUUGUGUAAUGAUGCAACAUUUAUUAUUUAUAAAAGAUUGAUCAAUUAAAUAAGAAAGAAUAGCGAUAUCAAUUCAAAAGAUGGAUCAGUUUAUUUCGAGAGGCAAAAGUACUUGAUUGAGUCAGAUGUUCUGUCUGACUCAAACUUAACUAACCACAGUCUAUCAUCAAUGGACAAAAAAAAAAAAAAAAAAAAAAAAAAAAACAAUCAAAGUGACUUGACACUUUUUCCAAGUGUUCCAUCAAUAUUGUUCAUUGAAGAUCAGGAGCGAAUUGAUGUUAUCUACACUCAGAUGACUUCAAUUUUGGAUGGCACACCUACACACACCCACAGUGACCAGAUCAGAUUCAUUAUGGAUGUCCCUUUUCCAGAGUCCAUCAUCUGUGCUCUUGCUGUUGUGAAAGAUGUGUCCAUCUAGGAGGCUGAGGAGAAAUUCCUUCGAGGACCUGUCAUUGACGCAAGUGAGUGGGAUCACUUUGACCGCAGGAUAAAGAAACAAUUAAAGAAGAGUGGCAAACCAUUGGAGAGUCAUCUACAGGAGUCAUGCUGUUAAGAAAUAACCAAGUCAUGGUGUUAAUAAAAUUUUU